GAUGAACGCUAGCGGCAGGCCUAAUACAUGCAAGUCGGACGGGAUUUGGGAGCUUGCUCCUAAUGAGAGUGGCGCACGGGUGCGUAACACGUAUGUAACCUACCUUAGUCAGGGGGAUAGCCUCUCGAAAGAGAGAUUAAGACCGCAUAACAUUAUUGAGUGGCAUCAUUUAAUAAUCAAAUAUUAUAGGACUAAGAUGUGCAUGCGGAACAUUAGCUAGUUGGUAGGGUAACGGCCUACCAAGGCUACGAUGUUUAGGGGAUCUGAGAGGAUGGCCCCCCACACUGGUACUGAGACACGGACCAGACUCCUACGGGAGGCAGCAGUAAGGAAUAUUGGUCAAUGGGCGGAAGCCUGAACCAGCCAUGCCGCGUGCAGGAAGACGGCCCUACGGGUUGUAAACUGCUUUUAUACGGGAAUAAACCUACUUACGUGUAAGUAGCUGAAUGUACUGUAAGAAUAAGGAUCGGCUAACUCCGUGCCAGCCGCCGCGGUAA
This 497-nucleotide ribosomal RNA is filed under the name uncultured bacterium. RNAcentral's name for it is "partial 16S ribosomal RNA". It matches the Rfam family "Bacterial small subunit ribosomal RNA", at positions 28 to 523 of the family's 1533-position model. The record is from RNAcentral.